RNAcentral lists this ribosomal RNA (253 nucleotides) under uncultured bacterium. RNAcentral's name for it is "partial 16S ribosomal RNA". It matches the Rfam family "Bacterial small subunit ribosomal RNA", at positions 524 to 776 of the family's 1533-position model. The record is from RNAcentral.
UACAGAGGGGGCAAGCGUUGUUCGGAAUUACUGGGCGUAAAGGGCGCGUAGGCGGCCUGUUAAGUCGAACGUGAAAUCCCCGGGCUCAACCCGGGAACUGCGUCCGAUACUGGCUGGCUUGAAUCCGGGAGAGGGAUGCGGAAUUCCAGGUGUAGCGGUGAAAUGCGUAGAUAUCUGGAGGAACACCGGUGGCGAAGGCGACUCGCUGGACAGGUAUUGACGCUGAGGUGCGAAAGCGUGGGGAGCAAACAGG